This 4945-nucleotide long non-coding RNA is filed under the name Anas zonorhyncha (Eastern spot-billed duck). Its description in RNAcentral is "lncRNA (ENSAZOG00000005001.1)". Lineage: Eukaryota; Metazoa; Chordata; Aves; Anseriformes; Anatidae. The record is from RNAcentral.
GUUUAGUUUUUUCCCUCUAAUUCUUGCGAGCUAGGCAGUUUUGAGUUGGGAAAGGCGUAUUUAUAAGAAUUUGACUCCUUCCACAUUCUAAGGCUUGCAGUGGUGUAGGGUGUUUGGGGAGAUCUGUCUGGGCAGAGGGAUUAAACGAAAUGUCGGGCAAAAGCACUGUUAAGAGAACUCUGAGGAAGCGCUUCCAUCCUUAAGACGGAGUUAAAAAUGCUUUGGAAAACCGCGGUUGCUCUCGCGGAAAGCAGGCGAAGCGCCGAGAGAUCGAUUGCCAUAGCAAACAGAUCGAAAAUUAGAGCUAAGAUCCCGUGUGACACAAGCAAACAAAUAAACAAACAAACAAAACCAGUAAAAAAUAGAUGAAUAGCAAUGAAAGGAAAAUAAAGAGAGAGAGAAGGGACGCGUAAAGCUGCUGGUAACAGAGGGUGAGUGCGAUGCCGGGGGGGAGCUCCGGGGCGCGCAGCAGGCGGGGGCUGCUUAACAGGGGGCGGGCAGGGGGCAGGCAGCGCCGCGGGGCGGGGGGCAAGGUGCCAGGCAGCCCCCCCGCCGCCGCCGCCCUCAGGUGCCAGCGCCCGCGGGCUGCUCCCCGCCCGGGAAGCAGGGUCUGGGGGCAGCCGACCCCAGGCGGUGCCGCCGGGACCCCGCUAGGCUCCCCCCACGCUGCUCUCGCAGGAGCCUGGAGCCCGCAGCGGGGGCUCGCCCGCCUCUCGGCCCCGCGUGUGUGUGUGCGUGGGAGCGUCCUCCGUGUGUGCGUGUGUGCCGGGGGCUGCUCUGUCCGUGCGCGGUUGCUGCUUGAAGGCAUCCCGGCAGCACUGUCCCCGGUGUCCCCACGAGCCGCUGGCCAGGCAGAGGGCUCCACGGGGAGGCUCCGAAAUGCAGUCAGGUCUGCAAUCAGCGCCCGCGAAGAAGCGACGCCUGGAGCUGGAGGAACUCCGGGGCCACUUUGGGCUCCCCAUUCCCGUCCCCUCCCGGAGCCCGGUGGCUGGGUCGGGGUGCGUGGCAGGCCCAGGGACACGGGGCAUUUUGCUGCCUGACGCCCAGGAAAGCUGGCGAUGCUUUUCUGCUCUGCCUGCUCUCCUCCUGCCGCCCGGAGAGCAGGAGAGCCAGAAAUAAUGCUAACGCGCCUUGGGCUGGGGUGCCCAAACGAGCGAGGGAGAAGUCCUGCUAAAAUGGAGGGAAAGUAGUGGCUGUUUUUUACAACCCAAGUGUAUAAUCGGAUUUUUUUUUCUCUCCUGAUAGAAAGCAGAUAAAUUUAUGAAGGGAGAGCUAAGAGAAUAAUUACAGGGUGAAGGUAGUUAAAUUUUAUUUCGAGUCCCAAAGGCAAAACCUGACAUUUUAUUGCAAACAUCUGGAAGGCUUAAGAGACUGGCAUGGUGUUUGUUUAAACACUAAUAGAGAUUUUUAUUCUGUAAAACACAAACAAAGCCCAUUUAAAAACACUCGAGACUGUAAAUAUUUUGCGGUGGUUCAAUUCUCCAAGCCUGAGAAAACCGGGGAAACGGGAGGGGAGGGGAACGAAUCGACGGCGUAAUGGGGGUAUAAUUAUGAAUUAGUUAAUAAUACGCAACAAUACCGUUUGUGUAGACCAUAAAAAUAAAUUGCAGGCGCAUUUUUUUUUUUCGCAGUCGCAGUAAAUGACCCCGCGCAGCCCGGGAACAUCACCUCGCUCGCGUUUCCAGGCGGCCACUCUGUUCGCCUUAAACUCGCCUCUUACGAGAGAGCCAGCCCCGAAAUCCUCCGGUCCGUUUUAAAAGGACGAUCGGCGUUGCGUUAAAGUCCAGUAAAUCACUCGCUCGCGUUAUCAGACAGCCUUCAGCCCGCACCCGCUGACUAGUUUUAACAUUGUUUUCAAUUACUAACUUAAAAAAAAAAAAAAAUCCCCUAGAUCUGGCUAAAGGACCUUCGAUAACGUUUCCCUUGUUGUGCGGCAGGGCUUGAAACUGGCUCCGCUCAGGCUCUGCGAGCAGAACAUCUGGACAGCACUCCCACCCCGCAGCCGGCUCCCCUUAUUUCUCUCUUUUGCAAAUAUUUCCAUACAUAAACAAAUAUUUUCAGGCUCGCUCGGCGACAACCGGCAAGCAGGAGUGAAUGAUUUCUUUAUAAACCCCAGGGCCUGGCCCUGCGACCCUUGCUCCCGCCACUUUAUUCCAGGGAGCAGUUUCCUGGAUUUAAUGGGAGCUACCCCUGCGAGUGCGGGUCUGGAAGAAAGGCCAGGCAAAGGGGGUGCUUUCUUCUCCAGGGGUCAGAGCGGGAUCUGAGCGUCGCGGCUGAGCCCGGGCCGGCUCCAGGCCGACCCCAGAUUUCCAGCGGGGGGUCACGGGAAGAAAUGUCCUGCGAGGGGGCAGCCCCGUCCCUUCCCCGGGCGCAUCUCGCCGCUGCCCUUCGCCCCGCCGGCACCGGCAGCGGGCGGGCGAGCCCUGGGGCUGCGGCGGGGAGGGAGAGGCUCGCCCCCGGCCGCCGCUGCCGGGACCGUGGGGAGCUGCCCUCCAGCCCCCGGCAAAGGGAUCUGCUCCCUGGGGCCUGGCCGGUCAGGGGGCGUGUUGGCACGGGAGCUCGGUCGCGUUUCUGCUGCGAAGCCUCCGUCCGUUCCUCCGUCCCGGCUGGGCGGACAGACGGACGGACGGCAGCGCCCGGCGGUAAGAGACUGCGAAAAGGGCUCGGGGCUGCUUUAAACCGGCGACCCGUAAAACCACACUUAAACCCGGGCAAAUUGUCUUUCUGAGCUCAUACAUCAGCCCCCGAAUUUCGUUUAAAUCGCCCUGCCUUUCCAACACCAUUUCCUCUCGCUAAAACGCUAUAAAUAAUCCUCUGUUUUCUUGGGCUCCCUUUCUAAAUUCUCCCUCCAGCCUCUAUAAAAGCCUCCCUCGCCGCCCGUCUCCCAGGCGGGUGUUUCCGAGGCUUUCGGAAAUAGAGAAACGGGUUUUUGUUUGGGAGACACUCCUUCGCCGUGGGACACGCAGCCGAGGGACCGGGGCGAAAGCCGUGCGCCCUUCCCCGUCUCCCCGCUCCUCGGCCGGUCCCGGAGCCCGCUUUAAAACGCGGGCUCCUUCCAAGUGCCUUUCUCUUUCGUUCCCCUCUCCCCCGGCUCUCCGGGCUCCCCUCGGCCCUGCUGGGGGGCACCCCCGUGCCGGGGGGGCGCCGUGCCCUGCGCCGAGCCCUCUGCGAGCGACCUGUCAAAGGCGAUGCUCCGGAGGGGAGGGGAAAGGAGCGGCGGGGGUGGGGGGGAACGGGGGGAGUGUAGGGCGGGUGAUGGGGACGCACAAAACCUGCUCCUCGGCCUAGAUAACGACGCUCAGCUUUCUCGGGAUUUCCCGAAGAAAUCGCUCCUUUCUCGCCGCAAAAUCUCUCGCCCCGGCAGGCUGGGGCCGUGCCUGCGCCACCCCUCGCUUUAGGCCGGGGGGGACGUCCGAGCGGCUCUGCAGCACCCCGCAAAUGCAGUGGGGAGGCUGGGGUAAACGAACUGAUCCCCCACAUGCCCCCUUCCCUCCUGUCCCUCCUCUAUGCCCCCGCGCCUCCGGGGAGCAUUUGGGAGCCACCGACACGAAAUAAUCUCUUCCUCAGUCUGCCGUGCGCUCUCUCCCGCUUUUCCAGAGUCGCUCGAUCCAUACUAAUUCCGCCCCUUGCUAUAUCAUUAUUUAUUGUUUAUUUUGAACCUCUCUCUACUCGAUUCUCGGGGUCGAUUUAACUCCCGGCGGCUUUCCCCACUACGUUUUCCCUGGACGGUGUUUUGCUUGGCUUCACGUAUUUUUUGGUGGUCCGAUCGCGGUGCUUCCUUCCCCUUUCCAAAUGCAGCCCCGGUUUUCCUUUUCACCGCGAUCCCCCAGUGCCCCGCACGACCCAGGGGUGUGUGAGCAGCCCGAAGGGUUUGGGGGCAGAGCGAACAGAGGGAGCCGAAAUGAAAUGUUGGAUACCAUCCAGGCAGCUGCCCUGGAUCUGUACCUAGAGGAUUUGUUCUCUCUGGAGCUGAAGUGGCAAAAAGAAACGGAGAAAUAAAUAAAUAAAUAAGUAAAAGACCACGACCACUCCUUCCAAAGGCUCCCCGUGCCGGUGGUGCCGGGUCUGGGUGUCUGCCCCCCCGCAGCCCGGCCACGCACCGUGCUGAAGUUUCGCUUCAACACACGCAAAAGUCCCCGCUGCUGGGCCAAACACCGGCUAGCUCUCGGAAAACACAGCACGAAUGACGCUUUAAAAACACCCCCAGGUUUUCAAGCCCCUUUCGAGUAUUUUUUGUUUGUUUGUUGUUUGUUUGUUUUUAUAUACGUAUAUAAUUUGAGGGGGGUUGGUUACCAGAAGUCCCUAGGAAACGUGGGUGCGGCGGAGAGAAGCGCCGGAGCUGUUCCCUCGCUGCGUUUAGGGCUAUGUGCUUCCUAACAGCUCCCCGCUCUUCAAAGAGUUAAUUCUCCCGGCCGGUGCUCCAGGACUCAGAUGGCCAAAAUUCCUAGCCCCGAAGCCCGAGUCUCCCUCCCUUCCCCAUUGGGUUGCAGCUUUUGGGUUUCUCCCGAUCUCUCUCUCCGAUUGGCCGGGGACAUUUUUUUUAUUUUUUUUUUUCCUUGACAGGCGCACGCAGCCUGCCCAACUCUCGGAGGAAAAAAAAAAAAAAAAGAAAGAAAAAAAAAAACACAGAAGUUUGGAUCAAUCAGAGAGAGANNNNNNNNNNAAAAAGGGAAGAAGGAAAAAAAAAAAAAAAAAAAAAAAAAAAAAAAAAAGAUGAAAUCCAGCCUGCAGCCCCUCUGAGCAAGUGCUGGGGACCUGGGCUGUGCACACCCUCCCGGCUCUGCCUACGGAGUAUCUGCAGCCUCAUGUAGUUCCUUCAGGAGACUGAGGGCUGGUUCUUCUUGGGGGUGCAGCUGGGGAGGGGUGGGGGGAGAAAGAGGCGAGAGGCUCUGCCUCUGGUCCCCGAGCUCUGCGCUCCCAGCCACUGGUUGCUCAUCUGCCCAAG